GAAAUGCGAUAAGUAAUGUGAAUUGCAGAAUUCAGUGAAUCAUCGAGUUUUUGAACGCAUCUUUCACCUCUUGGUAUUCCGAGAGGUACACCUGUUUGAGUGUCAUUUACUUCUCCACUCUUAAAAGUGUUUGUUCACUAUUAAGGGAUGGGCUAUUGGGGGUUUGUAUGCAGGUUUUAACUGUCGUUAAUCUGCUCCCCUUGAAUACAUUAGCAAAGUUUGUUACUAUGUGCAAAUAUGGUGUGUUAGUUGCUAAAACCUCACCCUUCUGGCACUAUAGUACUUAACUGCUUCUAAUGGUGUGUCUUUCACACAAUUGCUUUGAAACCUUGACCUCAAAUCAGGUGGGACUACCCGCUGAACUUAA
Molecule: unclassified non-coding RNA, 367 nt
Filed under: uncultured Agaricomycetes
Lineage: Eukaryota; Fungi; Basidiomycota; Agaricomycetes
Description: sequence contains ITS1
Rfam family: 5.8S ribosomal RNA (bases 1-105)
Source: RNAcentral